This 124-nucleotide ribosomal RNA is filed under the name uncultured bacterium. RNAcentral describes it as "partial 16S ribosomal RNA". It matches the Rfam family "Bacterial small subunit ribosomal RNA", at positions 366 to 507 of the family's 1533-position model. The record is from RNAcentral.
GGACAAUGGGCGCAAGCCUGAUCCAGCCAUGCCGCGUGAGUGAUGAAGGCCCUAGGGUUGUAAAGCUCUUUCGCCAGGGACGAUAAUGACGGUACCUGGAUAAGAAGCCCCGGCUAACUUCGUG